Molecule: non-coding RNA, 73 nt
Organism: Potamilus streckersoni
Lineage: Eukaryota; Metazoa; Mollusca; Bivalvia; Unionida; Unionidae
Source: the annotation of a GenBank genome assembly
ACUCCGGUGGCCUAGUGGUUAGAGCGUCCGCUUCGGAUGAGGGAGGUCAUGGUUUCAAUCCCUGGUCGAGACA